UACGUAGGGGGCAAGCGUUGUCCGGAAUCAUUGGGCGUAAAGAGCGUGUAGGCGGCCAGAAAAGUCCGCUGUGAAAACUCGAGGCUCAACUUCGAGCUGUCGGUGGAAACUUUCUGGCUAGAGUCCGGAAGAGGAGAAUGGAAUUCCUGGUGUAGCGGUGAAAUGCGCAGAUAUCAGGAGGAACACCAAUUGCGAAGGCAGCUCGCUGGGACGUUACUGACGCUGAGACGCGAAAGCGUGGGGAGCAAACAGG
Molecule: ribosomal RNA, 253 nt
Filed under: uncultured bacterium
Lineage: Bacteria
Description: partial 16S ribosomal RNA
Rfam family: Bacterial small subunit ribosomal RNA
Source: RNAcentral